CCCAGGGCUUACGCCCUGGGCUAUUAUCUUUCGCCCCAACCGGGGCC
Molecule: small RNA, 47 nt
Filed under: Acidobacteriia bacterium SbA2
Lineage: Bacteria; Pseudomonadati; Acidobacteriota; Terriglobia
Description: Solibacteres bacterium SbA2 Acido-Lenti-1
Rfam family: Acido-Lenti-1 RNA
Source: RNAcentral